Carassius gibelio (silver crucian carp) is the source of this 544-nucleotide long non-coding RNA. RefSeq lists it as uncharacterized. The transcript has 2 exons. NCBI's taxonomy places the organism in Eukaryota, Metazoa, Chordata, Actinopteri, Cypriniformes, Cyprinidae. The record is from RefSeq and is a predicted model, not a curated record.
UGCAUUCUCAAGGGGCUAUGCAUCUACCUGAAUGAAGAUGAAUAUGAUGGAGUAUUUGGAUGAUGACCCUGUGAGAACCGAAGCGGACAUAAAGAAGACCUUUUAGGGAUUCUGUGAUGUAAAGCAUGAAUUUGCUGAUGCAACAGAAGACCCUGAAGAUAUCUGCAUUGUGCUGGAAGAUGUGGAGGUGCUUUCUGGUUUAGGUAAUGUAGCAUUGGCUACAGCCAUGCUACUUGGACUAAUAUACUCUUUAAAUCUUACUCAUCCAUAGGAGAUCCAUUACACUUUUAAGGUGCUCCAAAAAAUUAUUCUCGAGCUGAACUUGUGUAAAUUGUCUGCCAAAGCACAGGCGCAGAAAACAAAACUCUUCACUUGGGUGUGCUGUUUGAGGAUCCCUUUGUGAAUGCUGUGUUUUAUUUCCUUGUAUGCUCAUGUGUUUUUGUUGUAUCUGAAUUUUUGCAUGAUGAGCAGAGGUGAUUAAGUCUCUCAAUCACAUUUAAUAUCAUGUUUAAGAAAACAAAAUAAAAUAACAUUUUGUUAUAUU